RNAcentral lists this ribosomal RNA (483 nucleotides) under Lanistes carinatus. RNAcentral's name for it is "partial 16S ribosomal RNA". It matches the Rfam family "Bacterial large subunit ribosomal RNA", at positions 1848 to 2583 of the family's 2925-position model. Lineage: Eukaryota; Metazoa; Mollusca; Gastropoda; Architaenioglossa; Ampullariidae. The record is from RNAcentral.
AAGAGUCUAACCUGCCCAGUGAUUUAUUUUUAACGGCCGCGGUACUCUGACCGUGCAAAGGUAGCAUAAUCAUUUGCCUUAUAAUUGAAGGCUAGUAUGAAAGGUUUAACGAGAGUUUAGCUGUCUCCUUAUUAAUUAAAAUGAAAUUGACUUUCAAGUGCAAAGGCUUGAAUAACACUAAAAGACAAGAAGACCCUAUUGAGCUUUAGAAAUUUAAUGAUUUUUUUAUCCUAAAUUUUAUUGAUACUAAUUCAUUAGUAUUUUUGGUUGGGGCGACUCUGGAACAAUUAAAGCUUCUAGAAAUAAUAAUAUUUAAAUUUUUUUUGAAAGCAGAUCCAGAAUUUUCUGAUUGAUAGAAUAAGUUACCAUAGGGAUAACAGCAUAAUCUUUUUUGAGAGCUCUAAUCGAAAAAAAUGUUUGUGACCUCGAUGUUGGAUUAGAAUAUCCUAAGGGUGCAGAAGCUCUUCUGGGUUGGUCUGUUCG